RNAcentral lists this ribosomal RNA (497 nucleotides) under uncultured bacterium. Its description in RNAcentral is "partial 16S ribosomal RNA". It matches the Rfam family "Bacterial small subunit ribosomal RNA", at positions 28 to 507 of the family's 1533-position model. The record is from RNAcentral.
GAUGAACGCUGGCGGCGUGCCUAAUACAUGCAAGUCGAGCGAACAGAUGAUGAGCUUGCUCCUCUGACGUUAGCGGCGGACGGGUGAGUAACACGUGGAUAACCUACCUAUAAGACUGGGAUAACUUCGUGAAACCGGAGCUAAUACCGGAUAAUAUAUUGAACCGCAUGGUUCAAUAGUGAAAGACGGUUUUGCUGUCACUUAUAGAUGGAUCCGCGCCGCAUUAGCUAGUUGGUAAGGUAACGGCUUACCAAGGCGACGAUGCGUAGCCGACCUGAGAGGGUGAUCGGCCACACUGGAACUGAGACACGGUCCAGACUCCUACGGGAGGCAGCAGUAGGGAAUCUUCCGCAAUGGGCGAAAGCCUGACGGAGCAACGCCGCGUGAGUGAUGAAGGUCUUCGGAUCGUAAAACUCUGUUAUUAGGGAAGAAAAAAUGUGUAAGUAACUAUGCACGUCUUGACGGUACCUAAUCAGAAAGCCACGGCUAACUACGUG